This 700-nucleotide long non-coding RNA is filed under the name Homo sapiens (human). RNAcentral's name for it is "long non-coding RNA NONHSAT211231". Lineage: Eukaryota; Metazoa; Chordata; Mammalia; Primates; Hominidae. The record is from RNAcentral.
UGUCAAUUGGCUUCAUAUCUACCACUUUUGCCUCAAAUGCCUAAUUUUCAUAAUAUUACUUAAUAAAACAUUUGAAUACAUUAUUAAUGCUCACUAGUGGAAAGAAAUGGAAUUAGAAAUUGCUAAAGUGAAAUCAGUAAUUCCCCGCUAAACAAUUAGGUAUUUUAGAUAUUGAAGAGAUUUUUGAAUCAUAAAUUUGUUGGCUUUUCUCUGUUAAGUAUAUUCUACUUUUGAUAAUUAACUUUUUAUGUUAAGAAAAUGUCUAGAAACAGAAAUAUUUGAUUGAAGAAACUAAUUAUAAUGUUAUACUGUUCCUUGAAUAGAAUUUAUCUUCUAUGAAAACGAAGGUAGAUUUCACAUCCCCUUCUUUCACUUUUCAUAUUUCCCAACUGCAAGCAGACAAUUCAUAUAUUGAAGGUAAUUAUUUCCUUUGUAGGCUUCUUUCUGUAACAACUUGGAAAUGAGUACUUAUUUAUAUUUUGGGUUAUCCAACAUACGAUGCUAUCAAGAUGUGAGUUAAAUUAUUUAGUUACUGGAAGAGAGAGAGUGUGUGUGUGUGUGUGUGUGUGUGUUUGAGGUAGCAGGGAGGUGGGGAUAAGGGAGCUAUUUGUCUAGCCUUGCAUUUGUUUUGUGAAACAGACAACCAGAGAUGACUAUUUUUUAAAUCACAGCUUGUAGUGAGCUUAAAUUAUGUAAAAAG